UUGUACGACAUGGCAACCGAAAUGUUUUGUCCUUGGAUACGUUCACAUUUAAACGACGUAUCCGGGGACCAAACAUUUCUGUUGCCAUGUCGUACAAUUC
RNAcentral lists this microRNA precursor (100 nucleotides) under Leptotrombidium deliense. RNAcentral's name for it is "microRNA mir-50". Lineage: Eukaryota; Metazoa; Arthropoda; Arachnida; Trombidiformes; Trombiculidae. The record is from RNAcentral.